GCGGUGUUUGGGGCGAAGCUGGGCGCGCGGCGCUCGAAGCACUCACUCGGCGGGUUUCGUGGUUGGUGGAGACAGCAAGGGCGCCCCGCAGACCGCACCCCUCGAGCUAUAGGUUCGCAGGCCCGACUCGACGGCGUCCCUAUUGCUGGCCCAGCGUAUGGUCAUUGGGGGCCAUUUCUUGCAGAGAUGCCCUGCUCCCUGACGCGCUCGCUCUUCUCCAGAGUUGGCCAAAGGUGCUCUUCCCCGCAGACCCUAACCACACCCAGUGGCAGUUGGAUUUCUUUGUAACUGGCUUUCUCACAUAUAUCAUCUCUUCUUUUGAUCACUGUUCCUGAUUGUGACAUUGUGCAAGUGUUAAAUUGUGUGCCUUUUGUUCCUGAAGAAAGAGGUAUGGUAAAGAUUGAAAUACUGGAGUAUAUAGUCUAUUAAGUAGUAAGUUGGUAUGUUUUAAUAUUGGACUAAAUAAAGUAAAAUAUAGGUUAAGUAUCCCAAAUCCAAAAAUCCAGAAUGCAAAAUUUUUUGAGUGCUGACAUGAUGGUCAAAGGAAAUGCUCUUUGGAACAUUUUGGAUUUUGAAUUUUUGGAUUUGAGAUGCUCAACUGGUAUAAUGCAAAUACUCUAAAAUCCU
This 627-nucleotide long non-coding RNA is filed under the name Homo sapiens (human). Its description in RNAcentral is "non-protein coding lnc-CCNJ-1:38". The record is from RNAcentral. Lineage: Eukaryota; Metazoa; Chordata; Mammalia; Primates; Hominidae.